UGCACACAGAGCAGGUACAGCACAAGCACUGGCAGGCUUCUCCACACUGUCCUGCUUAUGUCCCUCAACCCUGUUCUCGGUGUAUUCCAGGCUGCA
Molecule: small RNA, 96 nt
Filed under: Chelonoidis abingdonii (Abingdon island giant tortoise)
Lineage: Eukaryota; Metazoa; Chordata; Testudines; Testudinidae
Description: TUC338 (ENSCABG00000018535.1)
Source: RNAcentral